This 1179-nucleotide unclassified non-coding RNA is filed under the name Candidatus Phytoplasma oryzae. RNAcentral's name for it is "partial contains 16S-23S ribosomal RNA intergenic spacer and 23S ribosomal RNA". It matches the Rfam family "Bacterial small subunit ribosomal RNA", at positions 157 to 1356 of the family's 1533-position model. The record is from RNAcentral. Lineage: Bacteria; Bacillati; Mycoplasmatota; Mollicutes; Acholeplasmatales; Acholeplasmataceae.
CCCCCCCCAAAGCCUCUUUUAUUUUUAAAGACCUUUUUCGGAAGGUAUGCUUAAAGAGGGGCUUGCGUCACAUUAGUUAGUUGUCAGGGUAAAGGCCUACCAAGACUAUGAUGUGUAGCUGGACUGAGAGGUUGAACAGCCACAUUGGGACUGAGACACGGCCCAAACUCCUACGGGAGGCAGCAGUAGGGAAUUUUCGGCAAUGGAGGAAACUCUGACCGAGCAACGCCGCGUGAACGAUGAAGUAUUUCGGUAUGUAAAGUUCUUUUAUUGAAGAAGAAAAAAUAGUGGAAAAACUAUCUUGACGAUAUUCAAUGAAUAAGCCCCGGCAAACUAUGUGCCAGCAGCCGCGGUAAUACAUAGGGGGCGAGCGUUAUCCGGAAUUAUUGGGCGUAAAGGGUGCGUAGGCGGUUUAAUAAGUCUAUAGUUUAAUUUCAGUGCUUAACACUGUCCUGCUAUAGAAACUAUUAGACUAGAGUGAGAUAGAGGCAAAUGGAAUUCCAUGUGUAGCGGUAAAAUGCGUAAAUAUAUGGAGGAACACCAGAGGCGUAGGCGGCUUGCUGGGUCUUUACUGACGCUGAGGCACGAAAGCGUGGGGAGCAAACAGGAUUAGAUACCCUGGUAGUCCACGCCGUAAACGAUGAGUACUAAGUGUCGGGAUUACUCGGUACUGAAGUUAACACAUUAAGUACUCCGCCUGAGUAGUACGUACGCAAGUAUGAAACUUAAAGGAAUUGACGGGACUCCGCACAAGCGGUGGAUCAUGUUGUUUAAUUCGAAGAUACACGAACUACCUUACCAGGACUUGACAUACUCUGCAAAGCUAUAGCAAUAUAGUGGAGGUUAUCAGGGAUACAGGUGGUGCAUGGUUGUCGUCAGCUCGUGUCGUGAGAUGUUAGGUUAAGUCCUAAAACGAGCGCAACCCUUGUCAUUAGUUGCCAGCAUGUCAUGAUGGGCACUUUAAUGAGACUGCCAAUGAAAAAUUGGAGGAAGGUGAGGAUCACGUCAAAUCAUCAUGCCCCUUAUGAUCUGGGCUACAAACGUGAUACAAUGGCUGUUACAAAGAGUAGCUGAAACGCAAGUUUAUAGCCAAUCUCAUAAAAGCAGUCUCAGUUCGGAUUGAAGUCUGCAACUCGACUUCAUGAAGUUGGAAUCGCUAGUAAUCGCGAAUUCAGACAU